RNAcentral lists this ribosomal RNA (254 nucleotides) under uncultured bacterium. Its description in RNAcentral is "partial 16S ribosomal RNA". It matches the Rfam family "Bacterial small subunit ribosomal RNA", at positions 524 to 776 of the family's 1533-position model. The record is from RNAcentral.
UACGUAGGGUGCAAGCGUUGUCCGGAAUUAUUGGGCGUAAAGAGCUCGUAGGCGGUGUGUCACGUCGAUCGUGAAAACUUUCAGCUUAACUGGGAGCUUGCGGUCGAUACGGGCAUCACUGGAGUUCGGCAGGGGAGACUGGAAUUCAAGGUGUAGCGGUGAAAUGCGCAGAUAUCUUGAGGAACACCGGUGGCGAAGGCGGGUCUCUGGGCCGAUACUGACGCUGAGGAGCGAAAGCGUGGGGAGCGAACAGG